UAGCUUGCUACCGAUGAUGGCGACCGGCGAAUGGGUCGAGUCACGCGUGUCCAACCUGCCCCCCGCCCGGGGAUAGCCCUUGGAAAUGACGGAUUAAGACCCGAUACGUGGCGUUUCCGCAUGGCGGCGCCAUGAAACGAGGCGGGGGAUGGGACGCGUCGGAUUAGCUUGACGGCGGGGCAACGGCCCACCGUGGCGACGAUCCGCAGGGGCGUCUGAGAGGAAGGUCCCCCCACACUGGCACUGAGACACGGGCCAGACUCCUACGGGAGGCAGCAGUGAGGAAUAUUGGUCCAAUGGCCGAGAGGCUGAACCAGCCAAGUAGCGUGCAGGAUGACGGCCCUACGGGUUGUAAACUGCUUUUGCGGGAGGAUAAAGUGCGCUACGUGUAGCGCUUUGCAGGUAUCCCGUGAAUAAGGACCGGCUAAUUCCGUGCCAGCCGCCGC
RNAcentral lists this ribosomal RNA (446 nucleotides) under uncultured bacterium. RNAcentral's name for it is "bacterial SSU rRNA". It matches the Rfam family "Bacterial small subunit ribosomal RNA", at positions 76 to 518 of the family's 1533-position model. The record is from RNAcentral.